This 1455-nucleotide ribosomal RNA is filed under the name human gut metagenome. RNAcentral describes it as "bacterial LSU rRNA". It matches the Rfam family "Bacterial large subunit ribosomal RNA", at positions 1485 to 2925 of the family's 2925-position model. The record is from RNAcentral.
UAUGAUCGCGCGACUGGAAGAGCGCGUCCAAGUGCGUAUGUUGAAUCGGAGGCAAAUCCCUGAUUCUGAAAGCAGAGACACGAUGGGGAGUUAUACGAAAGUAUGACGAACUCAUAGAUCCUACACUGCCAAGAAAAACUUCUAGUGAGAAAGUAUCCGCCCGUACCGUAAACCGACACAGGUAGGCGGGGAGAGAAUCCUAAGGUGCGCGGGAAAACCCUCGUUAAGGAACUCGGCAAAUUGCAUCCGUAACUUAGGGAGAAGGAUGACCUUAAGUAAGCGAAAGGGAGAAACCCCUGGAACAGAACAAGGUGGCAGAAAAGAGGCCCAAGCAACUGUUUACCAAAAACACAGGUGCCUGCGAAAGCGAAAGCUGAAGUAUAGGUGCUGACGCCUGCCCGGUGCUGGAAGGUUAAGGAGAGAUGUCAGAGCAAUCGAAGCAUUGAACUGAAGCCCCAGUGAACGGCGGCCGUAACUAUAACGGUCCUAAGGUAGCGAAAUUCCUUGUCGGGUAAGUUCCGACCCGCACGAAAGGUGUAACGAUUUGGGCACUGUCUCAACGAGGGGCCCGGUGAAAUUGAAAUACCUGUGAAGAUGCAGGUUACCCGCGACUGGACAGAAAGACCCCAUGGAGCUUCACUGCAGCUUGAGAUUGAAUCUCGGUGAUGCAUGCACAGGAUAGGUGGGAGACUUUGAAGUAUGGGCUUUGGCUUAUACUGAGUCGAUGUUGGGAUACCACCCUUGUAUUGCUGAGAUUCUAACACGGAGGCUAACAACCUCGUGGACCAUCUCAGGUAGGCGGUUUGACUGGGGCGGUCGCCUCCGAAAGAGUAACGGAGGCGCCCAAAGGUUCCCUCAGGUCGGACAGAAACCGACCGAAGAGUGCAAAGGCAGAAGGGAGCUUGACUGCGAGACAGACAAGUCGAGCAGAGACGAAAGUCGGGCUUAGUGAUCCGGUGGUACUGUGUGGAAAGGCCAUCGCUCAACGGAUAAAAGCUACCCUGGGGAUAACAGGCUAAUCUCUCCCAAGAGUUCAUAUCGACGGGGAGGUUUGGCACCUCGAUGUCGGCUCAUCACAUCCUGGAGCUGGAGUAGGUUCCAAGGGUUGGGCUGUUCGCCCAUUAAAGUGGUACGCGAGCUGGGUUCAAAACGUCGUGAGACAGUUUGGUUCAUAUCCAUCGCGGGCGCAAGAAGUUUGAGGGAGGCUGCUCCUAGUACGAGAGGACCGGAGUGGACGGAUCAACGGUGUACCAGUUGUCACGCCAGUGGCACGGCUGGAAAGCCGCAUCCGGAAAGGAUAAACGCUGAAAGCAUCUAAGCGUGAAGCCCGUCCCGAGAUGAGACUUCUCAUCAGCAAUGAGUAAGACCCCUUAAAGACGAUGAGGUUGAUAGGCUGUGAGUGGAAGGCCCGUAAGGGUUGGAGCGACGCAGUACUAAUAGGUCGAGGUCUUAACU